Molecule: ribosomal RNA, 255 nt
Filed under: uncultured bacterium
Lineage: Bacteria
Description: partial 16S ribosomal RNA
Rfam family: Bacterial small subunit ribosomal RNA
Source: RNAcentral
UACGGAGGGUGCAAGCGUUAUCCGGAUUCACUGGGUUUAAAGGGUGCGUAGGUGGGUUGGUAAGUCAGUGGUGAAAUCUCCGUGCUUAACAUGGAAGCUGCCAUUGAUACUACUGAUCUUGAAUUUUCAGGAGGUAAGCGGAAUAUGUCAUGUAGCGGUGAAAUGCUUAGAUAUGACAUAGAACACCAAUUGCGAAGGCAGCUUACUACAGGAAUAUUGACACUGAUGCACGAAAAGCGUGGGGAUCAAACAGGA